GGGGCGUAGCCUAGCAAUCUAGAAAGGGCUGAAGGUCUACGGCGCCGGGCUCCAGACCCGGAGACCGUGGGUUCAAAUCCCACCGCCCCCA
Molecule: transfer RNA, 91 nt
Filed under: Nitrososphaeria archaeon
Lineage: Archaea; Thermoproteati; Nitrososphaerota; Nitrososphaeria
Description: tRNA-Trp
Rfam family: tRNA
About the family: Transfer RNA (tRNA) molecules are approximately 80 nucleotides in length. Their secondary structure includes four short double-helical elements and three loops (D, anti-codon, and T loops).
Source: RNAcentral